CCCUAGAGAAAAGCACCUACGUUGGACA
This 28-nucleotide non-coding RNA is filed under the name Homo sapiens (human). The record is from RNAcentral. Lineage: Eukaryota; Metazoa; Chordata; Mammalia; Primates; Hominidae.